AUGGAAGACAAUAACUACUUUCUCCCCACCCCAUCCCAAAUAAAUGAAAGGGUGGGAAAACUAAGCACUGUGGCUUCACACAUUUCUGUUUGUCUUCUAACCUCUUAUAAGAAAACACAGACUUUUAUAGCGACAUCUAUCUGCAUUGCGCUGAAAAAGAAGGACACAGUGGAGGGAACAAAUAAUGAGCGUGGUCUGGAUAACAGUUUGAAGAGAGAGACCAUUGAUUACAAUACAGAUAGAACUGCACUUCAUCAACUUAGCGGAAAGCAGCUGACAGUGGACUUCACACCUAACUCGAAUAAGGAAUUGCUAUGAAAAGUGACCCAGCGAGGAUAACUGCCCUGCGCGGUUCGAUGAGGUCACGGCAGGCAGGAGGGUAAGGACUCCAAGACCCGCAGCAGCAGCAUCGGGGGCCCAGGACCCGGACCCGGACCGGGAUGCGCCCCGGAAGCCAGCGGCUCCUGGCGGUAGCGAGGAGUGGUUAAGUGCAGCUGAGUUGUUCCUUGGGAGAUAUAUUCCACAACUGCAGUGUUCUUGGUGAUGUUUUAAAAAGGUAAGUGACCAGCCUGGGCUAAUCCUUGAGUCAGGCCAAAGGCCUGUGCCCUCUGAACUCAGCCCACAGUUCCAUCUUGCUCAAUAUAAGGAUAACACUAGAACAUCACUAGAGAGAAGCAGUGUGGACCUCACAUGCGUGUCUGGAAGUGGGUGCAUUAUGGCCAGGAUUUUGGUAGUGGCUCAGAAGUGAAAGAGCUCUGCUUGUAAUGCCCAGUUAAAUUAACCUGAGAAAACACUGUUAAAUAACAUAUUUACUAACUGGAUAAUCACUCUGUUGGGUGCCGGGGACCAGCCCCGGCUGAUCCAGGGUAUUCGAAGGAGAGACGGCAUAGGCGAAGAUCAGGAAACAAUUGCUUAAUUAAAUGUUAAUUAAGGAUAUAA
RNAcentral lists this long non-coding RNA (939 nucleotides) under Bos indicus x Bos taurus (hybrid cattle). RNAcentral's name for it is "lncRNA (ENSBIXG00005020660.1)". Lineage: Eukaryota; Metazoa; Chordata; Mammalia; Artiodactyla; Bovidae. The record is from RNAcentral.